UGAGGCAGGAGAAUUGCUUGAACCCAGGAGGUGGAGGUUGCAGUGAGCUGAGAUCGUGCCACUGCACUCCAGCCUGGGUGACACGGCGAGACUCC
RNAcentral lists this microRNA precursor (95 nucleotides) under Nomascus leucogenys (northern white-cheeked gibbon). Its description in RNAcentral is "miRNA (ENSNLEG00000029871.1)". Lineage: Eukaryota; Metazoa; Chordata; Mammalia; Primates; Hylobatidae. The record is from RNAcentral.